GUUCAGGAUUUAAAAAGGGAACCCUUCCAGUCCUCAAAACAAAAUGUAUUACUUCUGUGCUGAGGAAGAUUGAGCAGAAUCAGGAGUUAAGCUGGGAUCCUUGGCAAGUGACCCUCUGCUCUUAACAUGAGGCUGAACAGUCCCAGCUCUCUCAGCCUGUCGUCAGAAAGGGUGCUGCAGUGAUUUCCUUAUCUAGGUGGCCCUCCCUUGGACUCUCUCCAGUACGUCCAUGUCUCUUUUGUACCUGUGUAUGUAUGUGCAAAACUGGACACAGGAAGAGUCUGACUGAGAUCCCAUGUCCAAGUCUGCAAGAAGAGUGUGGAACUCUGGCUUACAGAUGUGAAUUGUGUGGCCUAAAUCUUGUGCAUGUCCUCUGGAAAGGAAACAAAUGAGAGAGCUCACCACUUUGUCUACAGAUGCCAAUUACAUAAGAAGAUACGUACACUGGUUUACUUCAGUAAUUUAUCUGGUUCCUGAAAAUGUUUCAGAUGCUACAGUUGUUGGAGUUGUGCCUUUUAAUUCAAGAGCAAAAGGAUUGGAGUUUUACAUACUAUUUAUACGUGAAUAUCUUCAGAUGUAGAUACAUCACUCGUGGUGGAUAAAUGGGUUUUCAAUCUUCGGACAUAAUUUUUAAGAACACAGUUUUUCAAGUUAGAUUUAGAACACACAUUCAGUGUUAAUAAGGGAAUAGCAAAGUAUUCCAGGAAUAAAAAAAAAAAAAAAAAAAGGAAGCAAAUAUUAUAGCCAUAUUCACAUCCUCAUAUUUGUCUUAAAUUAGAUCAAUAGUUCCAAAUAUCCCGUGAACUGUAGUUCUAUCAAAUCUGUAAGAUAAACUUGAUUAAGUUGGAAGAACUGAAGAUUGUUUUAGGUGUGUAAGGAGGCUUUUAUAUUCAAAUGUUGACAGAAAAAUGCAUUGGCAUCUGGUUCACUGAGGAAAUUGAAAACAUAGUCGAAGUUAACUUAUCCCCAUUCAUUAUGCAGUUAGCAAGCAACUUAAAAGGUUGGCAAGCUCUACCUCUUUCCCUCUAGGGAAAAAUAAACAUAAACUUAAAGUGAAUGCACUUCCUAGGAUCCUGUUUAUUUUAAGUGUCCUCUUUAUUCCAGAUUCUUAUUUUACCAAAAUCAGCAUGCUGAAUACCUCUUAGUGAAGCAUUGAUUGUAAACCUGUACUCUCCUCACAAUAUUAUCAGAAUGGACAGAUUUCUCAAACCCUUGUCCUAUCACCCUACAAAAACUCUCAGUUAGACAAUACAACUGUGUGAUUUGUGGGUAAGGCAGUGUUAAGAGCCCUAAAUUGGCAUUAAAUGGAAUAGGGAUUGUUUGCUCCUUUUCAUCUCAUUGAACAUACAGACUGUUGGGCUGUGUUUAUACUGCUAAGUUGAUUCAAGCCUUGGGGCUGAAUAGUGCUGACUGGCUUUGCAUCCCCACUCUGCAAGGUCAACUCCCUCUAGAACUGACUUUUAUUGAAAACUGGCGCGGCCCACAACAGAGUGAAGGAGAGCGCUAAGAAUUAAGCAAUAGGACAAUAAGUGUGAAUGUCUGAGCUCAUUCCUUGUUCCUUGUUUGUUUAGAUAUGCCCUAAAGAAAAAUAAAUAAAAAAAAAAAAA
Long non-coding RNA from Anas platyrhynchos (mallard), 1607 nucleotides. RefSeq lists it as uncharacterized. The record is from RefSeq and is a predicted model, not a curated record. NCBI's taxonomy places the organism in Eukaryota, Metazoa, Chordata, Aves, Anseriformes, Anatidae.